UGGAGGACAGCACUGUGGUCAUUGUUACAGGCCUUUUCUGGAUCCUUCCAAAAGAUGCUGCCAAGGCAAAGAACUCGUUCACACGUAGCAGAUGAGGGCAGACUGGCAUGGGAAGUCAGACAAGGCACAGAAGAUGGAUCUCAGGUGACAUUCAAACAUGGGUCUGGCUCUACAGCCACGGCUACAGAUGGCUGAUGACCAGAUCUACCUCACCUUGAUUGUCAUGGUAUCAGCGGCUAAUCAUUUAGCAUUAGAACAGUGAACAUUUA
Molecule: long non-coding RNA, 269 nt
Filed under: Rattus norvegicus (Norway rat)
Lineage: Eukaryota; Metazoa; Chordata; Mammalia; Rodentia; Muridae
Description: long non-coding RNA NONRATT016520
Source: RNAcentral